GAUUCUGCUAAGUAGCAAUAUUAUGUAUAGGAUCUGACGCCUGCCCAGUGUUGUAAGGUGAACUUGGAUUGUUAUUUUUAGCAUGAAGAUUAAGCCCACAGUAAACGGCAGCCGUAACUAUAACGGUUCAAAGGUAGCGAAAUUCUUUGUCAAUUAAUUGUUGACCUGCAUGAAUGGCGUAACGACUUCCCUACUGUCUCCAGUAUUGACUCAGUGAAAUUGAAUUCUCCGUGCAGAUGCGGAGUACUAAUAGCUAGACGGAAAGACCCUAUAGACCUUUACUGCAUUUAUGUAUUGUCAUAUAAGGUGCAAUGUGUAGGAUAAACAGUAACUUAUGAUACUUCAAUUUUGGUUGAAUGUGGAGGUGUCCUUGAAAUAUUGUUCUUUGUUAUCUUUAUGACUAAUUAGUUUUAACAGUGCAUAAUUGGUAGUUUUGCUGGGGCGGCAGGCUUUUAAAGAGUAACAAAGCUGUACAAAGGUAAGCUCAAAAUAAUUUAUGUUAUUUGUAGCGUUUAAUGGCAUAAGCUUGCUUGACUGUAAAAUUGAUAAAUUCAGCAGGGACGAAAGUCGGUCAUAUAGAUCCGAUGAUACCAGGUGGAUGGGUCAUCGCUUAACGGAUAAAAGGUACCUUAGGGAUAACAGGCUAAUAACUCUUGAGAGACCAUAUCGACGGAGUUGUUUGGCACCUCGAUGUUGACUCAUCACAUCCUGGAGCUGAAGUAGGUUCCAAGGGUUCGGUUGUUCGCCGAUUAAAGUGGUACGUGAGUUGAGUUUAGAACGUCGUGAGACAGUUUGGCCCCUAUCUACUAUUAGUGUUAAAAAAUUGAAAAGUGUUUUUUCUUGUACGAGAGGACCGAAAAGACAGUACCUAUGGUUUUCUGGUUAUUUUGGCUAUAAGUAGGCCAGUCAGCUACGUACAUAAACAUAACCACAGACGGCAUCUACGUGGGA
This 951-nucleotide ribosomal RNA is filed under the name Pessonella sp. PRA-29. RNAcentral describes it as "partial Bacterial large subunit ribosomal RNA". It matches the Rfam family "Bacterial large subunit ribosomal RNA", at positions 1819 to 2790 of the family's 2925-position model. Lineage: Eukaryota; Discosea; Flabellinia; Vannellidae. The record is from RNAcentral.